UACAGAGGGUGCUAGCGUUGUUCGGAAUCAUUGGGCGUAAAGCGCGUGUAGGCGGCCUUUUAAGUCCGAUGUGAAAGCCCGGGGCUCACCCCCGGAAGUGCAUUGGAUACGUGAAGGGCUGGAGUACCGGAGAGGAGGGUGGAAUUCCUGGUGUAGCGGGUGAAAGUGGCGAUAGAUAUCAGGAGGAACACCGAGUAGCGAAGGCAGCU
This 209-nucleotide ribosomal RNA is filed under the name uncultured bacterium. RNAcentral's name for it is "partial 16S ribosomal RNA". It matches the Rfam family "Bacterial small subunit ribosomal RNA", at positions 524 to 726 of the family's 1533-position model. The record is from RNAcentral.